AUGCCGGAACCGCAGGCCAUCCUCCCGCUCCGCGCGCUGCCGCCCGACGCGCCGCUCCCCUUCCCCCCGCCGUUCCACCACCAGACCCCUGCCACCCCCGCCGCCACGGCCACGGCCAACGCCAGCGCCACCCCGACCCCUCCCCCGGCCACGCCCCCGAACCCGACCCCUCCCCCGGUCACGCAUNNNNNNNNNNNNNNNNNNNNNNNNNNNNNNNNCCCAUGGGAGAUCGCCGCGCGCGCCUGGCUCGAGUCCUUCCCCGACGGCCGCCCUCCCACCGAGCCCGAGGUCGACGCCUACAUCGACGCCCACCGCCCCGAGCUCCCAUCCCUCCCCCGUUCCCAGCUCCACCAGCGCCUCCUCGCGCUCCGCGGCGACCAGGUUUUAGAUCCAGACCAAAGUGCAUUCCCAUACAGGUUCCAGCGAACUGAUCUAUGGAAGCCUGUGUAUCAGUGGUUGGAAACUCUUGAGAUGGACUCGCUAGUUACAUCAAAGCAGAUAUCAGACUGGCUUGCAUCGAACCCACAGGUGAUGGAUAGGCUGGUUGAGAAGCAUUCCAAGUAUCAUCUGAUACACUACAGCCAGCGGAUGCACUUGAAAUUGCUCAAGAAGAGAGGGAAGUUGCCAAAGACUCUACAACUUUCUGCGGCUAGAGCCACAUUCCAGCCAAGUGCUGUUCCAGUUGCCCCACCAGAAAGUGUGGCGACCUUACCGAAAUCUCUACCUCCGGCAACAGGUGGAUUUCCAGGUGGCAAUGCAAGCAUAUCUCCAGGUGGCAGUGCAAACAGAUCUCCAGGUGUCAGUGCAAGCAGACUUCCAGGUGGCAGUACACCAAUAAAGGACAAAAAUAUGUCUUUGUCCAAAAAGAAAGAAGCUCUCUUCAAAUAUGAACUUUUGACAGAUUUGCAGAAUCAAUUGACCAGUGUGAUGUUAAAGCACUGUCGUACUGUCGCCAUUAAAGAUACAGAUUCACUGUAUAUGGAUAUUCAAAAGCCAGAGACCAACAUAUUAUAUAUACAAGAAGGGGCAACUACUGCAAGCGCAUCAAACCCUGCAGAUGUGCCAAAGAUUUAUGUCAAUGAACAGCCGAACGCAGGGGGAGUAGUGGAGAGUGAAUUUGGCCAAAAGAGAAAGAGAAACCCAAUCAUUGUUACACCAGCGUGGUGUUACAGUGAAGCUGCAACAGGAACGUCGGAGCGUGAACAGAAUUCUAGUUCAUAUAGUGAUGGUGCGAGAAGUUUUAAUAUAUGGAAGGGACAUGUUAAUCCAUCGUCUACACAGAGAUCUAUAAAGAAAAAUCUAUUGUUCUGCCUAGAGGGGCGUGAAAUCGGUAGCAACUGGUCUCAAGUUUGUUCUUAUGGAGGUUAUGCUGGAAGGAACCGUGAAAGAUGGACCCCAUUUCUUGAAGGAUGGAAUUCACCCGCAGUUCAGUUUGAAGGGCCUGCGGUACAAGCUGUAAGAAAAAGUUACCUAUCUUGGAAUGCAACUUCAUGUGCUUAUACAUCAAGUGCUCCUUCUGCUCAGCCUCAUGACAGGCAAGGUGUACGCAAAGUUCUUGAUGUAAAAUUUCACCCAGAAGGGUUGCCCCAGCUUGUUUCUUGCUCUAAUGAGGCACCAAAUGAAUUAUUGCUUUUCAAUCUUCUUUCUGGGAGGGCUAUUCAACUUAGAGGCCACAAUACUAAGAUCCAGUCAACCUCAUUUGCGGUUAAAGGAGCAAGCGUUGUAUCUUGUGGUUCUAAUUUACUGAAGGUAUGGGACUGCAUAACGGGCUCUUGCCUCUACACCCUGGGUGGCGAUGACCAAAAUUCAGUGGGGCAUACUCAAAAAAUCAAUGCUAUGGCAGUGAAUAAGUGGCAGUCCUGUCUGGUUGUCACUAGUGGAGCAAAAGGUGAUGGGAAGCUUCUACUAUGGAAUGCUCUGAGAGGUGAACUCGCUUCUGAUCUGAAUUCAAACCUGAGGUCACAGGAUAUGGUGUAUCCUUCGAUUGAUACAAUGGAGUUCUGUAGCGAGAAUCUUCUGGCAUGUGGAAGUGACUGCGAUUAUGGUGGCUCAGCUGUGGUACAACUAUGGGAUAUUGAGUCUCCAGAAUCUUACUUAUCUUUCUCUGCAAGCGAUUCGUAUAUUACUUCCCUUAAAAUCAAUCUUGCUGGCAACACUAUCAUUACAGGUUCUGGUGAUGGGACUAUUGGUUUAUUUGACAUCCGUGCUUGUUCUGCAAUUAAUCAUUUGUCGGUGGGGUCUGGUUCUGAGGUUACAUCUGUUUCAUUUAGCAACUGUGGUACCUAUUUUUCUGCCUCUAGCACAUCAAAUAACACUUUGGUUUGGGAUACAAGACUAGUUCCACUAAGUCACACCAGGGAUGCUUUGCGAAGCAAAGACAUGCGUUUUUUCCGGCCUUUACAUUGCUUGAGCCAUGGCAAGCAGAUGCCAACUGCAGAAUAUACGAGCCAACUACCAGGUCAUGUCGAUGAGGGUGAUCAGGGGGUAAACGCCACACAGUGGUUGCAUAAUCAACCUGUCCUUGUUACUGCAAGCGGUGAUGGCAGCGUUGGAAUGUGGGAUGUUACUCUAGGCAAGCCUUGUGUCAGACAUAUCGUCACUCAUAAUCGAUGUGCCAACGCUGUUGCUGUAGCCCCCAAUGAUGAAUACAUCUCCACAGGAGGAAGUGACCAAAAAGUUGUUUUGUAUCAUAAUAGAAAUGGGUGUGCACAUCUUAAUUGGCGUCUUACGUACCCUCUGCCUGGAACUGAUUAA
RNAcentral lists this ribosomal RNA (2754 nucleotides) under Triticum aestivum (bread wheat). RNAcentral describes it as "partial small subunit ribosomal RNA". Lineage: Eukaryota; Viridiplantae; Streptophyta; Magnoliopsida; Poales; Poaceae. The record is from RNAcentral.